Punica granatum (pomegranate) is the source of this 1931-nucleotide non-coding RNA. The record is from RefSeq and is a predicted model, not a curated record. Lineage: Eukaryota; Viridiplantae; Streptophyta; Magnoliopsida; Myrtales; Lythraceae.
AUCCUUAAUUUCCUCAUCAAAUUUGGACAACCCAUUUUCUCUCUCCUCCAUUGUUCUUCCUCCUCUCUCUCUCCGGUCUGCCUCUCGCCGAGCUCUGCGAAAAAAAGUGAAGAUUUUUAAUUUAAUAUAUCAUCGUUCUCUGGGGGGCUAAUCUGUCAGAGCAUUGUCCUCUGUCCCUCUCUCUCUAUUGUGUUGUCGUGUUUUCGUUUCUGGGGGGAGGAGGGGGGAUUUGAUCAGUGAUGUCGAGCAGCGGUAGCAAUGGCGGUGGUGGGCCCGACUUCGACCUCCCCGAGGAGAUACUGUCGGUGAUACCCACGGACCCCUACGACCAGCUGGAUCUAGCCCGCAAGAUCACCUCCAUGGCCAUCGCCUCCCGCGUCUCCAAGCUCGAGUCCGACGCCUCCCGCUUCCGCCAGAAGCUCUACGAGAAGGACCGCCUCGUCUUCGAGCUCGAGGAGAAGGUCCUCCGCCUCGAGCGCGCCCACCAGGACGCUGAUUCCCGGCUCAAGGCCGCCCUCGAUGAGAAUAUGAGACUCUCCCAGGAGCGUGAUUCAUUAUCCAUGACUGUAAAGAAGCUCAGCCGUGAUCUGGCAAAGCUGGAGACCUUUAAGCGGCAGCUUAUGCAAUCGCUGAAUGAAGACAACUCAUCUCAUGCUGAAACAAUUGACAUCGGGACCUGUGAUCAAUCGAAUCCUAAGUUGUACCUAGAAAACGGUACAAAUGGCUAUGGGUCCCAUCAAUCUUACAAUGGCUCGACGGAUAUUAGGAAUAGCAUGGAUGAAAAUUCACGGCAUGCUGUGCAAAAGUUCUCCAUCACUCCAUAUAUUACACCCAGACUUACCCCAACGGGAACACCAAAAAUUAUUUCCACUGCCGGCUCUCCAAGAAGAUAUUCUUCUGCUGGGUCUCCCCAAAGAACUUCGGGUGCAGCAUCUCCCAUAAAAUCAGGAGGGAAUGUUAUGUCUUCAUGGUAUUCAUCAAGUCAGCAGUCAUCAGCAGCAAACUCUCCCCCGCGUGGACGUUCUUUGCCAGGACGCACCCCCCGAAUUGAUGGGAAAGAAUUCUUCCGGCAAGCCAGGACCCGUUUAUCAUAUGAACAAUUUAGCGCAUUUUUGGCAAACAUCAAGGAACUAAAUGCUCAAAAGCAAACUCGGGAGGAGACUCUAAGGAAAGCAGAGGAAAUAUUUGGAACAGAAAACAAGGACCUUUAUCUAUCAUUCCAGGGAUUGCUCAACCGAAAUGUUCAUUAGAGUUAUAGUUUUGAGUAAUCUCCGAUGAAGAUGCUUCUUACUGGAAGGUGUGUAUCAGUUCCUCCAAGAUUUUGGCCACUUUCAGCCUCUUGUGUUUAUAGGAUUAAGCUUAAUAGGGAAUGGUUGGACGGCUUGGACCUGUAAACAAGGUUUUGUUCAUGUGUGCUAGCCCAAGUUAUAAUAAUUGGAUAAUCUUCAAUGUAGGAAAUCACUUGUUUCUAGAAUUGCUACCGCUUUUCAAAUCCUUAAGGAAUUGACUAUCAUUAUCCGGAACUUUGGAUUACUCAUCCCCAGCACUUAAAAAAAAAAGAGUGAUGGUUUGUUGCUCAUCUCAAUGCCAUACAACUAGUCCGAAUGGCCAAAUGGAGUUGCUGUUGAUGCAGAGGCUGAAGUUUGAGCAGGCAACUGAGAGGCCUAGGCCUCGUUUUUCUCUAGGAAGUCCUCUGUAAAUAAGCGUGAAGUUUGGUCGCAUUUUCAUAUCCCGAACAGUCUGCAGUGGAAUUCUCUUAGCAAACUAGGGGAAUACCAAAUUGGCAUGUAGUAUGCUUCAUGUUCACGUGCACUGCAAUGUCGACCUGCUUAAGUUAUCAUAUGAAAUUUCUUCUCAUGGUCGCAUUUUUCAUAUCCCGAACAGUCUGCAGAGGAAUUCUCUUAGCAAACAAGGGGAAUACCAAAUUGGCA